This 690-nucleotide ribosomal RNA is filed under the name Staphylococcus aureus. RNAcentral's name for it is "partial 23S ribosomal RNA". It matches the Rfam family "Bacterial large subunit ribosomal RNA", at positions 550 to 1246 of the family's 2925-position model. The record is from RNAcentral. Lineage: Bacteria; Bacillati; Bacillota; Bacilli; Caryophanales; Staphylococcaceae.
CUGAAACCGUGUGCUUACAAGUAGUCAGAGCCCGUUAAUGGGUGAUGGCGUGCCUUUUGUAGAAUGAACCGGCGAGUUACGAUUUGAUGCAAGGUUAAGCAGUAAAUGUGGAGCCGUAGCGAAAGCGAGUCUGAAUAGGGCGUUUAGUAUUUGGUCGUAGACCCGAAACCAGGUGAUCUACCCUUGGUCAGGUUGAAGUUCAGGUAACACUGAAUGGAGGACCGAACCGACUUACGUUGAAAAGUGAGCGGAUGAACUGAGGGUAGCGGAGAAAUUCCAAUCGAACCUGGAGAUAGCUGGUUCUCUCCGAAAUAGCUUUAGGGCUAGCCUCAAGUGAUGAUUAUUGGAGGUAGAGCACUGUUUGGACGAGGGGCCCCUCUCGGGUUACCGAAUUCAGACAAACUCCGAAUGCCAAUUAAUUUAACUUGGGAGUCAGAACAUGGGUGAUAAGGUCCGUGUUCGAAAGGGAAACAGCCCAGACCACCAGCUAAGGUCCCAAAAUAUAUGUUAAGUGGAAAAGGAUGUGGCGUUGCCCAGACAACUAGGAUGUUGGCUUAGAAGCAGCCAUCAUUUAAAGAGUGCGUAAUAGCUCACUAGUCGAGUGACACUGCGCCGAAAAUGUACCGGGGCUAAACAUAUUACCGAAGCUGUGGAUUGUCCUUUGGACAAUGGUAGGAGAGCGUUCUAAGG